GAUGAACGCUGGCGGCGUGCCUAACACAUGCAAGUCGAGCGAACAGAUGAUGAGCUUGUUCCUUUGACGUUAGCGGCGGACGGGUGAGUAACACGUGGAUACCCUACUUAUCUUUCUGGGAUAAUUACGGAAAACCGGCGAUAAUACCGGAUAAUCUAUUGCACCGCAUGGUUCAAUAGAGAAUGACGGUUUUGGUGUCUGUAAUAGCUGGUUCCGGGCCGCAUUGGCUAGUUGGUAGGGUAACGGCUUACCAAGGCUACGAUGCGUGGCCGACCUGAUAGGGUGAUCGGCCACACUGGAACUGAGACACGGUCCAGACUCCUACGGGAGGCAGCAGUAGGGAAUCUUCCGCAAUGGGCGAAAGCCUGACGGAGCGACGCCGCGUGAGUGAUGAAGGUCUUCGGAUCGUAAAGCUCUGUUAUUAGGGAAGAACAAAUGUGUAAGUAACUAUGCACGUCUUGACGGUACCUAAUCAGAAAGCCACGGCUAACUACGUG
Molecule: ribosomal RNA, 497 nt
Filed under: uncultured bacterium
Lineage: Bacteria
Description: partial 16S ribosomal RNA
Rfam family: Bacterial small subunit ribosomal RNA
Source: RNAcentral